This 458-nucleotide ribosomal RNA is filed under the name uncultured bacterium. Its description in RNAcentral is "bacterial SSU rRNA". It matches the Rfam family "Bacterial small subunit ribosomal RNA", at positions 328 to 803 of the family's 1533-position model. The record is from RNAcentral.
UAGCGGAACUCCUACGGGAGGCAGCAGUGGGGAAUAUUGGACAAUGGGCGAAAGCCUGAUCCAGCCAUGCCGCGUGAGUGAUGAAGGCCCUAGGGUUGUAAAGCUCUUUUACCUGGGAAGAUGAUGACGGUACCGCAAGAAUAAGCCCCGGCUAACUUCGUGCCAGCAGCCGCGGUAAUACGAAGGGGGCUAGCGUUGCUCGGAAUCACUGGGCGUAAAGGGUGCGUAGGCGGGUCUUUAAGUCAGGGGUGAAAUCCUGGAGCUCAACUCCAGAACUGCCUUUGAUACUGAGGAUCUUGAGUUCGGGAGAGGUGAGUGGAACUGCGAGUGUAGAGGUGAAAUUCGUAGAUAUUCGCAAGAACACCAGUGGCGAAGGCGGCUCACUGGCCCGAUACUGACGCUGAGGCACGAAAGCGUGGGGAGCAAACAGGAUUAGAAACCCUAGUAGUCCACUUAUG